CCUACGGGAGGCAGCAGUGAGGAAUAUUGGUCAAUGGGCGCGAGCCUGAACCAGCCAAGUCGCGUGAGGGAAGACGGCCCUACGGGUUGUAAACCUCUUUUGCCGGGGAGCAACGGGCGCUAUGUGUGGCGCCACCGAGAGUACCCGGAGAAAAAGCAUCGGCUAACUCCGUGCCAGCAGCCGCGGUAAUACGGAGGAUGCGAGCGUUAUCCGGAUUUAUUGGGUUAAAAGGGUGGGUAGGCGGUGCGUUAAGUCAGUGGUCAAAUUGAGGGGCUCAACCCCUUCCCGCCAUUGAAACUGGCGCUCUUGAGUAGGAGAGAAGUAUGCGGAAUGCGUGGUGUAGCGGUAAAAUGCAUAGAGAUCACGCAGAACCCCGAUUGCGAAGGCAGCAUGCCGGCUUCCGACUGACGCUGAAGCGCGAAAGCGUGGGGAUCGAACAGGAUUAGAUACCCUAGUAGUC
Molecule: ribosomal RNA, 460 nt
Filed under: uncultured bacterium
Lineage: Bacteria
Description: partial 16S ribosomal RNA
Rfam family: Bacterial small subunit ribosomal RNA
Source: RNAcentral